GUUAAGGUGGAGACGCGUGCUUUUGUUUUCCUUUUCUUUUUUACUCCUGACUCAAAGUGACUAGUUGUGCCAGAGGAGAUUUGAGUCGAGGCGGUGACAGCUAUACGACAUUGAGUUGCGUCUCACUUGCGGCGGACAAUUCCAGUCCGGAUUAUGCUUGAGGAGAUAAUUGGAUUAGCCGAGUGCGGGUGACCUUCUCCGUCUUCGUGGGUGAAGUAAAAUUCACAGUGAGAGGUGAACUAGUUUUGGAAGUGAAAUUUGAAAAUUGUGGGCGAAAGAAGAUUCAGCAAUUGAAAGUUUGUGUGAUAUGUAGUAAAAUAAAGUGAUUGAGUUGUUCAAGACUCCGUGAUCAUCGGCCCCCAAAACAUCAUCAUUUGAUUAGUGUGAGUGGUGACACGUGCGAGUGCAAAAAAGUUCGGAAAAGUGUGAUGAUGGGUGCGUUUAGUAGUGGUUGACUGGGGGGAAAUUAUCACGAAGAAAACGAACGUGACACUCAACGACGAGCAGGGGCGAAAUGUUUGUUGCCAAAUUGUUUUGAUUUUCAGGAGAAAAAUGGCUAGAGGAAAAUAAAUGUGACAAAAAAUACAAUUUAAAGUGAAACAGUGAAAUUAAACCAGAAAUGCUAGAAUCUACCCCGUUCUGGAAUGCCGGCGGUUCCGGAAGUGGUGCCGGUGACCUAUCUCAACUACCGUUUGCGGACAGUAUGCUGCUGGCGGCGGCGGCCGAGGUCAACGCUUCCGUCGAGGAACUUUGCGUGCUGCAGCGGACCGCCGAAGAGCUGCUGACGGAUUUGGCCUGCCCGACGUUUUUCGACUCGGUUUCCUGCUGGCCGCGGACGCCACCGGCCACGUUGGCCAUCCUGCCGUGCAUGACCGAAUUUAAGGGCGUUCAGUAUGACAGCACCCAGAACGCCAGCCGGUACUGCAACAUCAACGGCACGUGGGACAACUACACCAACUACGGCGAGUGCCAGCACGUGGGCACGUCCGCCCUGCCCGAGUUCGAGCUGCACAUCGAGCUGCCAACCAUCGUGUACUUUGUCGGCUACAGUAUUAGUCUGGCAGCACUGGUGCUCGCCGUCACGGUGCUGGUUAACUUCAAGGAUCUGCGAUGUCUCAGAAACACAAUUCACAUCAACCUAUUUCUAACGUACAUUAUGUCGUCCAGCCUGUGGAUGCUGAUACUCUCUCUACAGAUGACAACCAAGACGGAAAUCGUCGACUGUAUAUUUUUAGUUACCCUGUUCCAUUACUUUAGCACGACAAACUUCUUCUGGAUGCUGGUGGAAGGUCUGUACCUGUACAUGCUGGUGGUGCAAACGUUUUCCGGUGACAAUUUGCGUUUUCGAAAGUACGCCAUCAUCGGAUGGGGUGGUCCCGUGAUCUUCGUUGGAGCGUGGGCACUGACCAGGCCAUUUUACUUAACAGAAGCCACCAUCACACCAACGGCGGAACAUCCCAACAAGCUCGAAAUAGAAUGCUCCUGGAUGCGGGAAUCUCACAUCGAUUGGAUAAUUCAGGGCCCGACCUGUACCGUGCUGGUGAUCAAUCUGAUUUUCCUGCUCAGGAUAAUGUGGGUCCUGAUCACGAAGCUCCGGUCGGCGAACACGCUCGAGACGCGCCAGUACCGGAAGGCUUCGAAGGCGCUGCUCGUACUUAUCCCGCUGCUGGGCAUCACGUACCUCAUCGUGAUCUACGGACCGGAGGAGGGCGGCGUCGGCAGUCACAUCUUUGCGGUCACCAGGGCGAUUCUGCUGAGCACACAGGGCUUCGUCGUAUCACUGCUGUACUGCUUCCUGAACUCGGAGGUGCGCCAAACGCUGCGGCACCAUUUUUACCGCUGGCGUGACGAACGGAACAUCCUGCGGCCCGGCGGUGCCAACAAAGCGGCCAACAACCAUCGCAGUGUGACAACCACUUCGGCACCGUUAAUUUGAUUUGAUCUCUUUCUCUCUCAUUUGUAAAUAUUAUCCUCGGUUUCUGUUUCCAGCGCUUUUGUUUAUUAUUUUUCCUUUUGUAAAUAGCACCUGUUACUACAAAAUCUAUGCAUUCGAAAAUGCAUUUAAAACACCCUGGAGUACAGCAUCGUGAUAAUGAAGAGCUCGGCGUCCCGCAACUGAGAUUGGCAUUCACCUGCCGCUGAGGCAGGACCACCCAUAUCGUCGAUUCCAAUGACAGCUCCCCCGCUCCAGCCGCAGCCAGCUUGGCAAAUCUCAACGACUACUUCGUUCAUCACAGACGGGAGCGCCACCGCCGCAGACAAAGGUGACAGCAAAUCGAAUUAAAUUCAACACUUUUCGGAGCUGUGGUGUGGUGAGAUGGUGUAAACAAAACGCACACCAAUUCUCACACACACUUGACAGCUUUUCCACAUUGAAGUUGACACGUGGGUGAUUGAGUGUAUUGAGGGUCCUGUGUGUCGUUAGAGUGUGAGGUUUAAUAUUUGAACUCUUUUUUUCUUGAAUGGUUCUCAUCUUACAAUUUGAACGGGGUGAUUCCCCUUUAGGAUGCGUGUGGGAUGUGUGUGUGUGUGUGUGUGUGAACUAGUAAACAGAACAUUCCAAAUAAAUUGUGCAAGGUUGAGAUUGGAUUUCAAUUGUGAAAAAAGUCUGGAAAGUUGCUGAAAACGACGAUGAUGAGGAGAAAGAGUAAAUAUUUGUGACUUGUUGUGUAGCUAAAUUAAAAAAGGCGCCACAUGAGAUGUGGUGAAGAUUACACACGACAU
RNA transcript from Culex pipiens pallens (northern house mosquito), 2724 nucleotides. It is a transcript of the gene named diuretic hormone receptor-like, with no coding region annotated. The transcript has 13 exons. The record is from RefSeq and is a predicted model, not a curated record. Lineage: Eukaryota; Metazoa; Arthropoda; Insecta; Diptera; Culicidae.